This 78-nucleotide non-coding RNA is filed under the name Danio rerio (zebrafish). Lineage: Eukaryota; Metazoa; Chordata; Actinopteri; Cypriniformes; Danionidae. The record is from RNAcentral.
UUUUUUACCCAGCCACUAGCAUUGAUAUUUUGUCGUGUUAGUGCCGGUCCCAAGCCCGGAGAAAAUGGGGAGUUUUUU